This 98-nucleotide ribosomal RNA is filed under the name Staphylococcus rostri. RNAcentral describes it as "partial 16S ribosomal RNA". It matches the Rfam family "Bacterial small subunit ribosomal RNA", at positions 1 to 92 of the family's 1533-position model. Lineage: Bacteria; Bacillati; Bacillota; Bacilli; Caryophanales; Staphylococcaceae. The record is from RNAcentral.
UUUGUGGAGAGUUUGAUCCUGGCUCAGGAUGAACGCUGGCGGCGUGCCUAAUACAUGCAAGUCGAGCGAACAGACGAGGUGCUUGCACCUCUGACGUU